GGGCUCGUGGUUUAGUGGUAUAAUACUCCCUUAGCAUCUCGCAAGCAGUCUUCUGCUUAGCAAUCUAGCCUGGGAGUGGUCCGGGGUUCGAUUCCCCGCGAGUCCA
Non-coding RNA from Didymella sp. IMI 355093, 106 nucleotides. Lineage: Eukaryota; Fungi; Ascomycota; Dothideomycetes; Pleosporales; Didymellaceae. The record is from the annotation of a GenBank genome assembly.